AUGUAUGCAGUGGUACAGGAGGGAUUGACACAUCAACAUAAAUCCUUCAAAUCGACAUAUCCAAAAAAUACAGUCAACAGGAAUGAGAAUAAGCAAAAUUUUGCUCCUGGGGAGUUGUGGAAGGCAAAACAACUUAAAGAGUAUCGCAGAGCAAAUGGGUUAUGUUAUGGGUGUGGAGAUAAGUAUGUUCCAGGACAUGCCUGUAAACCCACAGCUGCCCCUACAGCUCAGUUGAAAGCAGCAGAAUUAAUAGAUCCUCAUGAAAUUAUAUCAGAUGUUGUGCUGGAUGCUUUGGUGGAAAACUACCAGGAAGAGUGUGCCACCAUCUCUGACACAGCUCUGUCUGGAGCAUCCCAUCCCAAAACCAUUCAGCUAAGAGCUCUGAUUGGAAAUCACGUUGUUUUGAUACUUCUGGAUUCAGGGAGCACUCAUACAUUUGUGGACCAAGCAUUGUUGGAUAGAGUUUCAGUACCUGCCCAGACAAUGAAGAAACCCAUGCAAGUGAAAGUAGCAAAUGGAGGACUGGUGGAUUGCACCAAAUUUGUACCUGAACUGACCUGGUGGAUUCAGGGGCAUAGUUUCUCCAGUACCAUGCAAGUUCUUCCACUAGGAGGGUAUGAUAUUAUCCUAGGAAUGGACUGGCUAGAGAAAUGGGGUGUGAUGCAGUGCCACUGGGCUGAGAAGUGGAUUCAGUUUGAAUAUCAACAGAAAAUUGUCAGAUUGCAAGGAGUUCUGCCUGCUAAAACAGAACCAAUUAAGGAAGUUUCUAUGGAACAACUUAAGAAGUGGGAAAAAGGAAAUGACAUAUGGGCAACGGCUAUGUUGCAUCAUAUUGUUGUCAGUCCUUGUUUUGAAAUACCUGAAGAAGUUCAGCAAGUGCUCCAAGCAAACAAAGAUGUUUUCAAUUAUCCUAAAACCCUACCUCCACAGAGAGAAUUUGAUCAUGAGAUACAUCUGGUACCUGGAACAGUUCCUCUUAACUGCAGGCCUUACAGGUACUCACCACAACAAAAGGAUGAAAUUGAACGACAAGUGUCUGAAAUGCUACAGUCAGGGCUUAUUACACCCAGUUUAAGUCCUUUUGCUUCUCCUGUCCUACUGGUCAAGAAGAAGGAUGGCACCUGGAGGUUUUGUGUGGACUAUAGAAGAUUGAAUGAGGUCACAAUUAAGAACAAAUUUCCACUACCUGUAAUUGAUGAGCUGUUGGAUGAGUUAGGAGGAGCUAAAUGGUUUUCUAAGCUAGAUCUCAAGUCAGGCCAUAAAAUGUUGUAUGCUGGUUAUUUUGUCAUCUACUCCCUCCGUUCCAAAUUACUCAUCGUGGUUUUAGUUCAGAUUUGA
Molecule: ribosomal RNA, 1338 nt
Filed under: Triticum aestivum (bread wheat)
Lineage: Eukaryota; Viridiplantae; Streptophyta; Magnoliopsida; Poales; Poaceae
Description: partial small subunit ribosomal RNA
Source: RNAcentral